UGAUAGUGCAGCAAGGUCCAGUGAUUGGCUCUGGAGCAGAAGAAAGGUGUGUGAAUCGGGUAACAAAUGGCUGCUUGCAGAGACAGGAGGAAGGUGUGGCUAACGGCCUGCAGAGAGGAAGGCAAAGGAAGAAAGGGGGGAAAAAAACAAUCUGAACACACAAUUGUGUGAGAUUGGGGUAUGCACAACACAAAACUGGUGUCUCACACCCUGCUGAGGAGCUCAGUUGUCUCAGGUGGAGGGAAGAAAGAGAGAGUGAGAA
Monopterus albus (swamp eel) is the source of this 262-nucleotide long non-coding RNA. RefSeq lists it as uncharacterized. The record is from RefSeq and is a predicted model, not a curated record. The transcript has 4 exons. Lineage: Eukaryota; Metazoa; Chordata; Actinopteri; Synbranchiformes; Synbranchidae.